UUGUCGGGUGGUGGGAGGAGUCUGUGCGACUGGCUGCUGGUGAGAGAUUAAAAAAGCAGCAGCCUGAGAGGAACUCCCCAUUACCUGAUAAACUGCUGACUGAAGGAACGUCUCUGUACCGCUGGAUAAUAACAGACCACAUUGGAUCACAGGCUACUAUGAAGCUGUUACAGGAAAGGGAGGAUGCAACAAGCGAUAGAAAGUAUAUAAAAUCUCAGGUGGAGAAACGGCGCAGGGAGAGGAUGAACUGCAGUCUGGAGCGACUGAGGACCAUGCUGGUUCAAGAGCCACAACAACUGGGUGGGACUCAGAGCAGAGUGGAGAAAGCAGAGAUCCUCGAGCACACAGUCCUCUUUUUGCAGAAAACUACAAAAGAGGACACCAGUGCUGAAGCUGGUGGAAGUAGUAGAGGCAGGAAACACUCCUUCCGAGACGGCGUCUCCACCUGCCUGCAGCAAGCUGCUCAGUUCCUGGGACCUGAGGGGAAAGGCCUGUGGCUUGGAGCAGCGCUGGAUGCAUCUUUUGCAGCUCGUGUUUCUUGGACAAACUCUGAUUCUGCAGCAGGCCUCCAAAGAAGAACUGACGCUUCCUCCUCGAGCUCUCUUUCACACACAAAGUCCAUUCUUCGGAAGCUGAGACAAAAAUCCAAGCAAAGACUGCACGCAGGAGUCUGCAGUCCAAAAAGUUUUGCUCAUCCUUAUCGACUUCCAGCCCAGCAGGGCUUUUCCAGAGUUUCUGAGCAGGCUCAAAGACAAAAUCAGCUUGAAACGCAAAGCUGCCCAGUCAGCCAGACUCUGUGGAGGCCCUGGCCCUGACCACAUGGUCCCUGAAACUGACCUUUAAUGACUUUAAUAGAUUUCUAAUAAUCACUUGUGAAAGCUAUUAUUCCUGAAAGAAGAUUUGCUGUAAUCUUGAAAAACUGCAUCUGAUCUCCUGAAAACCCAAAUCCUGUUUCGGCCUGUAAAUAAUGUAACGUAUAUUCUGUACAUGUGCAUAAUGUGAAUGUGUUCACUCACUACUUGUGUUCAGUGGUUGUGAAUGAGUGCAGACAGCGGGGCAGUAAUCUCUUCUGCAGGCAGGCACAGGGACUCUCCCGGGCUGGGAGAGCUGGACCCCAUGGCCAGGCGGAAACUGCUGCUGAGUUGAACAACAAGUUCAGAGGUGUGGGAGCUCAGGUUUCGAGGUUGGGAGCCCCUCACCUUCACCAUCACCUGUGUGCCAAGAUGUCUGCGCGCAGCCUUGUCUACAUUAUGACAUGUACUCUUUUUAAAUAUAUAUUUUGUCUAUUUUGCACACUAAUUUAUUCUGUAUGUCUCCCUAUGGUGAGAAGUAUUCUUUUUUAUAAGAAAAUAAAAACAUUCCUUGAAAUAA
Molecule: RNA transcript, 1371 nt
Organism: Notolabrus celidotus (New Zealand spotty)
Lineage: Eukaryota; Metazoa; Chordata; Actinopteri; Labriformes; Labridae
Gene name: enhancer of split mgamma protein-like
Exons: 4
Source: RefSeq, a predicted model, not a curated record